ACCUGGACAUAAGAGAAACAAUCAGGCUUGUAUGUGUAAUUAAAGUUGAUUCUAUUAUCUUGAUUGUAUAAAAGCUCAAAUGCCAGUAAUAUGUAUAAUGUGUUAUAUUCAGUACUUUUUAUAAGUGCACAUAGCACCUGGCAUUACUCAACUGCCUCUUGUCUUAAAGCUUGAAAGGGAAUCCACACUGUCAGAGAGGGAUGCAGGGAGUGUCCAGGAAUUGGCCUAUGCCUGGGACCUCCCAUCCCUUACUGAGAAGAACAGGAGAUGGAUUUUUGAGAAGCUUCUAAUCCAUGCUGUGAUUGGCCGUGUCACAAGACAAAUAAAACAGUUUCGACGAGGUCUUAAAGAAACCCCAAUGUGGACAGUGCUGACCCAACGACCUGACACGGGGGCCUUGCUUCUCCCAAAAGAGGGAGCUGGGAAUAUCAGCCCUGAGGUACUUCUUCAGCGAAUCACAUCCGUGAGAAUGAAGAUGAUGACGACGACUAUUCAGUUGACACCAGAUGCUGCAUGACAGGCUAUCUUCGACAGUUCAUUGUGAAUGCAACACCAACUGAAUUGACCAAUCUGGUCAAAUUCUGGACCGGGUGGGAGAUUCUCCCAACGAGCCCCUCCGUAGAGGUGGUCAUGGGCAGAUACCCCACAGCCUCCACCUGUUUGAGAUGUUGAGCAUCCCAGGACAUUACAAUGAUUAUCAAUCUUUUCAAAGUGAUAUUCAGGCCUGUAUUUGCUCUUGCCAAACAGGAUUUGGCCUGGUGUGAGAGACUAGAUUUGAUCUUGUACUAAAUGUUGAUCUAACUUUGUUUGUUGGCUGUUCAAAAUGUUGACUGUUAUGCAACAAAUAUGGAUGUUCACUGUAAACAAUCUCUGCACUGAAAUAAAUAAUUAAAUAAUUAA
Long non-coding RNA from Gasterosteus aculeatus aculeatus (three-spined stickleback), 900 nucleotides. RefSeq lists it as uncharacterized. Lineage: Eukaryota; Metazoa; Chordata; Actinopteri; Perciformes; Gasterosteidae. The record is from RefSeq and is a predicted model, not a curated record.